RNAcentral lists this non-coding RNA (28 nucleotides) under Rattus norvegicus (Norway rat). Lineage: Eukaryota; Metazoa; Chordata; Mammalia; Rodentia; Muridae. The record is from RNAcentral.
UGGCAGACAACAGUAGACUGAUUGCUGG